GGUGGAACAUGACCUCAUUGCUUCAGGUAAGAGCUCUCUCUCUUGGUCUGUCAUGGCCACCCCUUCCAGGGCCCCCCAGGGGCCCUCCCAGCCCCCGCUCCCACAGGGACCCAGGCCUCUGACCACUGGGUCUCCGCCCCUCAGGGGGCCUGUUUCCGGCUGACUCAGCGUGGGGGGCCCAAGGCUGCGUCAGUGAGGGGAGAACUGACGUAGCCCCCCCCCAGACCGGCGGGGCCAGCCAAGACUAGGAGUCCAGACUCCCCAGCCGCUCCUCCCUCAGACCAGAUGCCUGUGUCCAGGCCCCAAACCCUGGUUUCCAGGUGGAGAAAAAGGUGUCUUUUGCAACUUGCGGACUACUCUAUGGAAAAGGCCACCCCUAACAAGGGCUCAGUGAGCCUCAGGCCCCUUGCCCGUGGUUUCUAGGGGGAAGACCCCAGGCUGUGAGGUCUCGGGAGACUUGGAGCUGCCCGUGCAGGUAUGGGGUUAGGAA
This is a long non-coding RNA of Suricata suricatta (meerkat), 490 nucleotides long. RefSeq lists it as uncharacterized. Lineage: Eukaryota; Metazoa; Chordata; Mammalia; Carnivora; Herpestidae. The record is from RefSeq and is a predicted model, not a curated record. The transcript is spliced from 3 exons.